AAUGUGGUUACAUGUCAUAUGGACACCUCGCGUGCUUAUGUAUGGAGGCUUCAAAAUUUUGUUCUUGGCGAGCAUAUUUUAACUCCAUGUCCUAAAAAUCCAACUCCAGUCAAGGCUUGCGCUAUUAGUGCCUGUGGAAACUUUGCUGUACUAGGGACGGCCAGCGGUUGGAUUGAGCGGUUUAAUCUUCAGUCAGGAAUCAGCCGUGGCAAUUAUGUUGAUGCGUUAGAAGGUGAAAGUGCUGCUCACAAUGGGGAAGUAAUUGGCAUAGCUUGUGAUGCAACAAACACCAUCAUGAUAAGUGCUGGAUACCAUGGUGAUGUAAAAGUUUGGGACUUCAAACGUCGCCAGUUAAAAUAUAAGUGGGAGGUUGGGUGUUGCUUAGUUAAGAUUGUGUUCCACCGUUCUAAUGGUCUUUUGGCUACAGUGGCAGAUGACUUAGUUAUCCGUCUAUUUGAUGUUAUUGCACAGAGGUUGGUUCGUAAAUUUGAGGGUCAUUCUGACCGUAUUACUGACAUCUCCUUUAGUGAGGAUGGGAAAUGGCUUUUGACAUCCAGUAUGGAUGGGACUCUCAGAAUCUGGGAUGUAAUUUUAGCUAGACAGAUAGAUGCAAUACAAGUUGAUCUGUCUAUCACUGCAUUAUCUUUAUCGCCGAAUAUGGAUAUCUUGGCUACAUCGCAUGUUGAUCAAAAUGGUGUUUAUCUGUGGGUCAAUCAAGCGAUGUUCUCUGGAGCAGCCAGCUUUGCUUCAUAUGGAAGUGGAAAAGAAAUAGUCAGUGUGAAAAUGCCGUCUGCUGCUUCUGAAAAAGAUGGUGAAAAAAGUGAUAACAGGACCAUCUUUAAGCCAUUGGAGUCCUCUGAUACUCCUCAGUUUCUAAAUUCCAGCCAUCAAAUUCCAGAUCUAGUCACUCUUUCACUUUUGCCUAAGAGUCAAUGGCAGAGCUUGAUCAACCUGGACAUAAUAAAAGCCCGCAACAAACCUAUCGAGCCUCCAAAGAAACCUGAAAAGGCACCUUUUUUCUUGCCUUCAAUUCCAUCUCUGUCCGGUGAGAUAUUAUUUAAACCAAGUGAAGGUGCUAAUGAGGAGGGUAAUGCACAAAAUACCAGAUUGGAAGAGAGCAGUAAGAAAACUGAUCUUCCAGUAUCCAAAUUCUUGCAAAUUCUCAAGUCAUGUGCGGAGAAAGAGAAUUUUGCACCAUUCACUAAUUAUAUCAAAAGCUUGUCACCUUCAAUAUUGGAUAUGGAGCUGCGAAUGCUUCAGAUAAUAGAUGACGAUGACGAGCAGGAGCCUGAGAAGAGACAGGAAUUGCAUUUUAUUGAACUGCUACUUGAUUACUUUAUACACGAGAUUUCAUGCAGAAGCAAUUUUGAAUAUAUUCAAGCUCUGGUUAGAUUGUUUUUGAAGAUUCAUGGUGAAACAGUCCGACGUCAGUCAAAAUUGCAGGAGAAGGCAAGAAAGCUUUUAGAAGUUCAAUCUGCAGUUUGGCAAAAAAUAGAUAACUUGUUCCAAAAUACCAGAUGCAUGAUCACGUUUCUUAGCAACUCCCAGCUUUGAUUAAUUUCAACAUGACAAUAUCCCUUAGCUGUUGUAUUGUAAUUCCAAUUUCUUUUUUCUUAUAGGUAUAUUUCAUUAAAACUUUAAUCCCAUUGUUACAAGCGUAAUUGCAAAUUUUG
Molecule: unclassified non-coding RNA, 1673 nt
Filed under: Hevea brasiliensis (rubber tree)
Lineage: Eukaryota; Viridiplantae; Streptophyta; Magnoliopsida; Malpighiales; Euphorbiaceae
Source: RNAcentral